Molecule: transfer RNA, 73 nt
Filed under: Candidatus Altarchaeales archaeon
Lineage: Archaea; Nanobdellati; Candidatus Altarchaeota; Candidatus Altarchaeia; Candidatus Altarchaeales
Description: Candidatus Altiarchaeales archaeon tRNA-Asn
Rfam family: tRNA
About the family: Transfer RNA (tRNA) molecules are approximately 80 nucleotides in length. Their secondary structure includes four short double-helical elements and three loops (D, anti-codon, and T loops).
Source: RNAcentral
GCCUCGGUAGCUCAGUUGGUAGAGCGCUCGGCUGUUAACCGAGUGGUCGCAGGUUCAAGUCCUGCCCGAGGCG